GAAUAGUUUGAGGAGUAUUUUUAGUAGUUCUAAUUUGAAUAAUUUGAAAGUCUGGUGUUUUGGCUUCUUUUUGGUUUGUUUGUGUUUUGUUUUGUUUUUUGUUUGUUUGGGGGGGGGCUUUUAAUGACUGCUUCUGUUUCCUUAGGGGUUAUGGGACUGUUUGGGUAGUUUAACUGAUCUUGACUUAACUUUGCUAUGUCCUAUCUGUCUAGAAAAUCAACCAUUUUAUUUGGGAUUUCUAGGGUUUUUGUUUGUUUUUUUGUUUUUGUUUUUGUUUUUAGUAUAGGCUUCUGUAGUAAAGCCUGAUGAGGUUUUAAUUUCCCCAAUUUCCAUUUUUAUGUAAGUCUUUUUAUUUCUGUUUUUGCUAAUUUGGAAACUCUCUCUAUACCAUCUGGUUGUCUUUUUUUUUUUUUAAUUAGAUAUUUUGUUUAUUUACAUUUCAAAUAUUAUCCCCUUUCUUAGUUUCCCCUCCAAAAAUCCCCUAUCCUCUCCCUCCUCCUCCUGUUCCCCAACCCAUCCACUCCCACCUCCUGUCCUAGGCAUUCCCAUGUACUGGGACAUAGAGCCUUCACAGGACCAAGGGCCUCUCCUCCCACUGAUGACCAAUUAGGCCAUCCUCUGCUACACAUGUAGCUAGACCCAUGAGUUCCUCUGUGUAUUUUCUUUGAUUGGUGGUUUAGUCCUAGGGAGCUCUGGGGUUACUUACUGGUUAGUUCAUAUUGUUGGUCCUCCUGGGGGCUGCAAACCCCUUCAGAUCCUGGGGUACUUUCUUUAGCUCCUUCAUUAGGGACCCUGUACUCCAUCUAAUGGAUGACUGAGAGCAUUCACUUCUGUAUUAGUCAGACACUGGCAGAGCCUCUCAGAAGACAGCUAUAUCAGGCUCCUGUUAGUAAGUCCUUGUUGGCAUCUGCAAUAGAGUCUAGAUUUGGUGCUUGCUUAUGGGAUGGAUCUCCAGGUGGACCAGGUUCUGGACGGUCAUUCAUUCAGUCUCUACUCCAAACUUUGUCUCUGUAACUCCUUCCAUGGGUAUUUUGUUCCCCCUUCUAAGAAGGAUCCAAGUAUCCACACUUUGGUCUUCCUUGUUCUUGAGUUUCAUGUCUUUACAAAUUGUAUCUUGAGUAUUCUGAGCUUCUGAGCUAAUAUCCACUUAUCAGUGAAUGUAUAUCACUGUAUAUAAAUUAUCAACUAAUAUAUCAUAAUUCUUCCCAUUAAACUUCUUGAUUUUUAAUCAUCUACUGGCUAUUUAUCAUCUUUGGAAUUUAAAGAGAUAUUUUAAUUAUUUGAGUAUUUCAUAGCAUGCAUAUAGUAAGGUUUGAUUGAGUCCACUAGUUCCACCCAUUAUAUUUCAUUUCUAAUACAUGUCCACUAUUAUAGCCGUACUUUAUGUGCUCAUUUUUCUAAAAUUCUCUGAGUUCUUUCACUGCUGACAUUAUAUGGACUGGUAUAAGAUAAUCUAGUGGAGAAUUGGUAUAUUUUUAGGAACCACAUACCUGAAGAUAGCUUACUUUCCCUCUCACAGCAGACUCCAGUUGUCAAUAAUGCCUCAGCUACUUAUAGGCCUUUGUGGAAACAUCCCCUGUCUAUGUAGAGAUUGUGGCUAGGUUAGAUUUAGAAUGGUCUUAUUCUUGAAAUUAUAGAUACUAUAAGUUACAUAUGCAACUCCUGUUAUAUCAAUAAAAUAGUGUUCUAGGUUGCUUGCAAAAUAAUUCUGCUCACAUUUUUACAAUGAUAACAUGAGCCUUAGGCAGAAGGGCUAUGAUAUAAAUGUCCCAUUUAAAGCUGAGUAUUCUAGUAUUUUUUCUUUAUGUUCAUCCAUAAUUGUUCUUUGUGUCUACCAGAAAAAAGGAGCUAAGUUUCAACGAAAGUUGUGAAAUGAAUUAGCCUGUGAGUAUAACAACUCACUAGGAGUUGAUUUUAAACUAUCCAUUUAGCCUAAUAGAAUAGUAAGUUCUCUCCUAGAGACUAUGAUCAACAUAGCCAUGGAUUCUUUGCUGCAUUAACAGAUGUGCAUUCUGUAGUUUGCAGUGGGCCCUAAGUAUAAUGAGGAAAUAGUCCUUCUCAUAACCUUUGUGACACAAUGUCACUAUGGGCAUAUUUGGCAGUUUGGUUAUUAUUGUGGUUCAUAGGGUUCACAGCUCCAUAUGAUAUACUGUCUAAUACCAGGAAAGCUACACAGAGAGCUGAAGCUUCCAGAUUGGCUCCAAAUUUAUGUUUCAAUGUUCUUUGAUUCAAGUACUUCUUAUCAUAAAUAUGGUUGUAUCUUCAAGUUCUAGAGAGUAAGCAAGAUUAAAGACAAUAGCCUACAGUGUUUGGGUUUUUCUGGGACCCAAGUCACCAAUAAUCCCUAAAACAAAAUGUCAUCCCUUGAUGUAAGUCAUUACCCUCAUGCUAAAAGGUAGUUUUAAAUAAAUUCUCUUUAUAUUUGAAUAUGAUUAUAUUUUAUGAAUUUUAUAUAAAGGUAGAAUUGGAAAUGAGUUUUUGAAGGCACUUUAGUAUUGCUUAUCCCUUGUCAUUCUCCCUCCUUUACCCUGUCCUCUUAUACCCUAUCCUACUUACCAAUUCUUGCUCAAUUAUUUUCUAUUCUUUUGUAACACCACUUACCUCUAACUUCCUUAUCUUGAGAUUUCCACCAACCCAUACCCCCUUUCUGUUUUCCUGAAUUACAUGGGUACUCCAAUUUAAAUGGAAAUGUUUAAAUAAUAAAACAACCAUUAAUAUAUAAGAGAGAAGCAUUUAUUUUAAUUUUAUAUGUUGAUGUUAGUUCCUGAACAUAUGUAUUUGUUCCAUAUAUAUGCCU
This 2797-nucleotide long non-coding RNA is filed under the name Mus musculus (house mouse). RNAcentral describes it as "long non-coding RNA chrX:45937427-45940224". The record is from RNAcentral. Lineage: Eukaryota; Metazoa; Chordata; Mammalia; Rodentia; Muridae.